UACGAAGGGUGCAAACGUUGCUCGGAAUUAUUGGGCGUAAAGCGCACGUAGGCGGCUUGGCAAGUCGGAUGUGAAAGCCCUCGGCUCAACCAAGGAAGUGCAUCCGAAACUGCUGAGCUUGAGUACUUAAGAGGAUCGCGGAAUUCCCGGUGUAGAGGUGAAAUUCGUAGAUAUCGGGAGGAACACCAGUGGCGAAGGCGGCGAUCUGGGAAGAUACUGACGCUGAGGUGCGAAAGCCAGGGGAGCGAACGGG
Molecule: ribosomal RNA, 253 nt
Filed under: uncultured bacterium
Lineage: Bacteria
Description: partial 16S ribosomal RNA
Rfam family: Bacterial small subunit ribosomal RNA
Source: RNAcentral